RNAcentral lists this ribosomal RNA (628 nucleotides) under Aquitalea sp. Its description in RNAcentral is "bacterial SSU rRNA". It matches the Rfam family "Bacterial small subunit ribosomal RNA", at positions 55 to 678 of the family's 1533-position model. Lineage: Bacteria; Pseudomonadati; Pseudomonadota; Betaproteobacteria; Neisseriales; Chromobacteriaceae. The record is from RNAcentral.
AUGCAAGUCGAACGGUAACAGGGAGCUUGCUCCGCUGACGAGUGGCGAACGGGUGAGUAAUGCGUCGGAACGUGCCGAGUAAUGGGGGAUAACUAUCCGAAAGGAUAGCUAAUACCGCAUACGCUCUGAGGAGGAAAGCGGGGGACCUUUGGGCCUCGCGUUAUUCGAGCGGCCGACGUCUGAUUAGCUAGUUGGUGAGGUAAGAGCUCACCAAGGCGACGAUCAGUAGCGGGUCUGAGAGGAUGAUCCGCCACACUGGGACUGAGACACGGCCCAGACUCCUACGGGAGGCAGCAGUGGGGAAUUUUGGACAAUGGGCGCAAGCCUGAUCCAGCCAUGCCGCGUGUCUGAAGAAGGCCUUCGGGUUGUAAAGGACUUUUGUCAGGGAGGAAAUCCCGGUUGUUAAUACCGACCGGGGAUGACAGUACCUGAAGAAUAAGCACCGGCUAACUACGUGCCAGCAGCCGCGGUAAUACGUAGGGUGCAAGCGUUAAUCGGAAUUACUGGGCGUAAAGCGUGCGCAGGCGGUUGUGCAAGUCUGAUGUGAAAGCCCCGGGCUCAACCUGGGAACUGCAUUGGAGACUGCACGGCUAGAGUGCGUCAGAGGGGGGUAGAAUUCCACGUGUAG